GGCUUUUUGAGUCCGUGCCGAGAUUUCGUCAGACAUCAAACCAUUAUAGCGGAUCAGACUUCCAAGAUAAGUGAAGUU
This is a non-coding RNA of Schistosoma mattheei, 78 nucleotides long. NCBI's taxonomy places the organism in Eukaryota, Metazoa, Platyhelminthes, Trematoda, Strigeidida, Schistosomatidae. The record is from Rfam.